UUGCAAAUAAUAGGAUACGAUGAAAAACCGAGUGAAAGCGAUCUUACUAAAUGUUUAAGAGAGGAAGCUGCAAAAUGGGCAUGUAUUAUUGUUGCUGCUAAAUGCAGGGAAACAGCUACUUUACAACUGAUAAAAGAUCUUGAAAGUCCUGUACAAGAUAAUCGACUUACAUGGAAAGAAUGGAAAUAUUGUAAAGGUUUAAUGUUAGCAAACUACACCGUUUGGAACUAUGUACGGGAAAAAUGGACGACAACAUCUCAUAACAAAAUUUUAGAUUACUUAACUUGCUGUGAAGAUCCUUUAAUUAUUACCUCUUAUUUGAAUCAAAUGUUAAGACCAACUGAGUAUAAAUAUUUUGUCAAAGAACAAGACAAACCUAUAAAUAUGGUUCUUCUUACUGUUGCGAAGCAUGUAAGAAACUUUAUAGUGUUUGAUUACAUAUUGAAACGUUUAGAAAGCAAGCAAUUGGUUUUAAGUGGAAAUUGGUAAAUAUUUUCGCAACAAUUUAUCUGAAAGACGAGAGGUUAAUUGUUGCUAUUAAAAAUAAAAUUGACAAACGAAAAUUGGAGUACGCAAGACAAAUCAUCACAAAUUAUGGAUCUCUCAGUCAACAUGACAACAACUGAACUCUGCCAACAACAGAGUAAAAGGAGUCUGCAUUCUGUGUGCUCGAAGUUCGCAUAAAACUAUGAUUUAUUUGACCGUUAUACUAGCCACUAUUGCGUCAACACUGGAUGCCAUUUCUGGCAUUUAACACUAUUGGAAUGUUGUUACUAUUAUUCCGACUGGCAAACUUUGUAUCGCUAAUAGUGAUAUGAUAUAUUAGUUAGAACUAAUUUACUUUAUAUUAAUCAGUUAGUUAAUACUAGUUCUUUACUGUUAUCCAGUAUCGCAAAUCCAGCUGCCAGAAAAGGGCUAAUGCUAUGCCUAUUGUAAGCAAGAAAAUACGAAAAUGAAUGGCCAAACAAUUAAAUUUGUAAAAGACAAAACAUAUAGCAAUGUAUAUAGUAUAUAGCCAAAGUUAUAGCAAUGUACAGAAAAAUAGAAUAAAUAAAAAAGUAAAAAUUAUUAACAUUUUG
Molecule: non-coding RNA, 1079 nt
Organism: Linepithema humile (Argentine ant)
Lineage: Eukaryota; Metazoa; Arthropoda; Insecta; Hymenoptera; Formicidae
Source: RefSeq, a predicted model, not a curated record